GUGAAUUCUAACAACAAAUUCCAUUAAUGUGCAUAAUUAUAAUUCAUCAAGAAAAUUUUAAAAAGGUACAGAUAUUUGCAGAAACAUAAACUUUGGUGAUCAGCUUUUAGCUUCCUUGGUUUUCUCUGGGACAUCCAUGUUUUAGGAGGGAUAUGGAAGGCUGCCGAUACCUAGCAAGUUGUGAAGGUGCUCAGAAGUAGUUAGUUGAACCCUUUGUGUUCAUAUUCCUUAGGGAAGAAAAGAAUCACAUUUCCAGCUCACUGAAUCUCGUACAUUUUAUGCCACUCCCAACUGUCUGCUGAGGCAUUGACUUUAGUCUUGAAUGUGCUAGUUGGGGACUGGGUUGUAGAACUCAGGAGACCUGUCUGCUAAGCAAAAGCUCCCUUGUGUGACUUUCCAUUCUCACUGUUGUCUUUAGCAGGGCAUUAUUACAGUGGUUGGGUUGUACAGUGAAAACAGUGACUAAGUUAAUUUAUAGUGAAAUGGACCCUUUUUUAGAACUGGGACCUAAAAUCCUACUCUGGAGUGAUAGGAUUAGAGUUGCUUUUGAUUGAACAUCAGUUCAUUAGAUGAGGUUUAAGAGAAUUACCCCCUUGUGUUUGGAGCAUAAUGCCACCCAGGUGCAGGUAUCUUCACAACUCCAGGUCCCAUACCUGCCACAGGAAAUCAGACUGGAGUUGAAGGGAACAAACUGGGUACACACCGGCUGAGUCAAAAGCUCCAGGUCCUUUCAGGAUCACCAGGUGUGAAGUGGAGGAGGAUAGAUGGGACUGGAAAAGGGUCUAGUAUACAAGAAAUGGGCGACCUCAGCAGGUUGCCUUCCUAUGAUGGUAAGCUACUGUUUUUAAGGUCAGCUGGGGGUGGGGAGAAGAGCUGGAAUUACUUGCCAGUCAUUGAUGUCCUAUUUAGUGCGGGCUGACUGAGCCUGCCAGUACUUGAAGCCACUCUUACAGCUGACACUUUGAAAACCACCUACUCACACCACCAGGUUGCAUCGAUUUUCUGAUUUGACCCUCAGUUGAUUACAUUUGGAGUUAACAUAGUGGAUUGGUCAGGUGAAUGUUCUAAGUGUACAUACUGGCUGCUGGCAGCCAGCAAUCCUGGUGAGUUAUUCAAAGGGCAGUGACCUUCCCAACUGCAUUAUUAGAAAUUAGUGUAUACAGUACAUUUGACAUUGUGUUUGACACACAUUCCAUUUAUGUAGUUGUGAUGUAAAUGUUUAGGAAUCAUCACACUCUUGAGCCCCCUAGUCAAACCUAAAGAGGUGAGACUGGCAUGUCUACGUGGACAUAGUGGUUGCAUUUAACUGUCCUUGACUGUUAGUAAGGGAAAAGUAC
RNAcentral lists this long non-coding RNA (1337 nucleotides) under Marmota monax (woodchuck). Lineage: Eukaryota; Metazoa; Chordata; Mammalia; Rodentia; Sciuridae. The record is from RNAcentral.